This 492-nucleotide ribosomal RNA is filed under the name uncultured bacterium. RNAcentral describes it as "partial 16S ribosomal RNA". It matches the Rfam family "Bacterial small subunit ribosomal RNA", at positions 30 to 507 of the family's 1533-position model. The record is from RNAcentral.
AUUGAACGCUGGCGGCAUGCUUUACACAUGCAAGUCGAACGGUAACAGGCCUUCGGGUGCUGACGAGUGGCGAGCGGGUGAGUAAUGCAUCGGAACGUGCCCAGAGGUGGGGGAUAACGCAGCGAAAGCUGUGCUAAUACCGCAUGUGAUCUGAGGAUGAAAGCGGGGGACCAAGCAGCAAUGUUUGGCCUCGCGCCUCUGGAGCGGCCGAUGUCAGAUUAGGUAGUUGGUGGGGUAAAGGCCUACCAAGCCGACGAUCUGUAGCUGGUCUGAGAGGACGACCAGCCACACUGGGACUGAGACACGGCCCAGACUCCUACGGGAGGCAGCAGUGGGGAAUUUUGGACAAUGGGCGCAAGCCUGAUCCAGCAAUGCCGCGUGCGGGAAGAAGGCCUUCGGGUUGUAAACCGCUUUUGUACGGAACGAAAAGGCUCUGGCUAAUACCUGGGGCUGAUGACGGUACCGUAAGAAUAAGCACCGGCUAACUACGUG